Molecule: long non-coding RNA, 284 nt
Organism: Colletes gigas
Lineage: Eukaryota; Metazoa; Arthropoda; Insecta; Hymenoptera; Colletidae
Exons: 3
Source: RefSeq, a predicted model, not a curated record
UGCAAGUGCAUAGUUCACAGUAAACACGCUGAGAAUUCGAUACGGAGAACCAUGAAUCAAAAACUUAGCAUUCUACUACUCCUCGUUUCAGUUAUUCUGAUGACUGAAUUUUUCGUGAUACCAGUGGCAGCGGAGCUACCGAUAUGCAAAUCACUAAAAAAGAGUCAAUGCCAUAGUAUGAAAUACCGUAACAUGUGUAAGAGCAAAUGUUCAUGAAGGAUGCAAAUUUUUGACAGAUAGCGACAACACUACGAUAAACAUUGCUGCGAAGAAUACUAUGAAAU